Long non-coding RNA from Brachypodium distachyon (stiff brome), 572 nucleotides. RefSeq lists it as uncharacterized. The record is from RefSeq and is a predicted model, not a curated record. The transcript has 3 exons. NCBI's taxonomy places the organism in Eukaryota, Viridiplantae, Streptophyta, Magnoliopsida, Poales, Poaceae.
CCGGCUACGGCUUCUGUCUCAAACCUCAAACUUCUGUCCGAGCCCAGGACUCCACAUCCUCAAGCUUCCUAGACCGGCUCCGCCUCGGUCCCAAUCUCGCCUCGCCGUCUCGUUCAAUCCAACUCCGGCGCAGAUCGAACUGGCUCCGGCCGCGACCGAAAUUUUCACCUUUCCACGCAAAGCCGAUUGCACAACAAUGUACUUCUGCCGUGUCGAGGAUCCCGGAAAUUGCUCUCCAAGACGAGUUCCUCGUCGUCAUGACCGUCUUGGUUAUUGGUCCUCUUAAUUAAGCCAUGGCGAGGAGAAGCUCGUAGGAGAUGAUGACCUACGCAACCAGAUUGCCACUGCUGUGCAACAGAGCGGGAGAUGAUGAAAUCACACUUCCUCUUGACCUGAGAUCAUGAUACGCACUCUAUUUACUCCAUAUCGACGAGGGCACCAAUGAACAUCAACUGGAAUAUUUGGAUCUCUCUCUCUUCAUGGUACGUUUAAGCCAUCCAGAUUCCAGCCAUACUUCUCUAAAUUUUGUUGUUUAUUCAUCGGAUUUGGGCAUGUAACUGGAUGUUGCUUGG